CAGCAGCCGCGGUAAUACGGAGGGGGCUAGCGUUGUUCGGAAUUACUGGGCGUAAAGCGCACGUAGGCGGCUUGGUAAGUUAGAGGUGAAAGCCCGGAGCUCAACUCCGGAAUUGCCUUUAAGACUGCCGAGCUAGUAGGUGAGAGAGGUAAGUGGAAUUCCGAGUGUAGAGGUGAAAUUCGUAGAUAUUCGGAAGAACACCAGUGGCGAAGGCGGCUUACUGGCUCAUUCUAGACGCUGAGGUGCGAAAGCGUGGGGAGCAAACAGGAUUAGAUACCCCUGUAGUCCCUGUCUCUUAUAC
Molecule: ribosomal RNA, 301 nt
Filed under: uncultured bacterium
Lineage: Bacteria
Description: partial 16S ribosomal RNA
Rfam family: Bacterial small subunit ribosomal RNA
Source: RNAcentral